Molecule: ribosomal RNA, 421 nt
Filed under: uncultured Glomeromycotina
Lineage: Eukaryota; Fungi; Glomeromycota
Description: SSU rRNA
Rfam family: Eukaryotic small subunit ribosomal RNA
Source: RNAcentral
AGCAGCCGCGGUAAUUCCAGCUCCAAUAGCGUAUAUUAAAGUUGUUGCAGUUAAAAGCUCGUAGUUGAAUUUCGGAAUCAAUUUAUUGGUCGUGCAAUAGUACGUACUGGUUUUAUUGGUUCCUCCCUUCUGAUGAACCAUGAUGUCAUUAAUUUGGUGUUAUGGGGAAUCAGGACUGUUACUUUGAAAAACUGAGUGUUUAAAGCAGGCUCACGCUUGAAUACAUUAGCAUGGAAUAAUGAAAUAGGACGUUUGAUUCUAUUUUGUUGGUUUCUAGGAUCGACGUAAUGAUUAAUAGGGAUAGUUGGGGGCAUCAGUAUUCAAUUGUCAGAGGUGAAAUUCUUGGAUUUAUUGAAGACUAACUACUGCGAAAGCAUUUGCCAAGGAUGUUUUCAUUAAUCAAGAACGAAAGUUAGGGAUC